UACAGAGGGUGCAAGCGUUGUUCGGAAUUAUUGGGCGUAAAGCGCGUGUAGGCGGCUUAGCAAGUCGGGCGUGAAAGCCCCGGGCUCAGCCCGGGAAGUGCGCUCGAAACUGCGCGGCUCGAGUGCCGGAGGGGAGAGUGGAAUUCCUGGUGUAGCGGUGAAAUGCGUAGAUAUCAGGAGGAAUACCGGUGGCGAAAGCGACUCUCUGGACGGCAACUGACGCUGAGGCACGAAAGCGUGGGGAGCAAACAGG
Molecule: ribosomal RNA, 253 nt
Filed under: uncultured bacterium
Lineage: Bacteria
Description: partial 16S ribosomal RNA
Rfam family: Bacterial small subunit ribosomal RNA
Source: RNAcentral